GAAGUAAGUAUGGGCUUCUCAAAACCUGAGUUUGAAGUGGUUACCUUUUCAAACAUGUUGUGAGGUUGGAAGUGGACUUUAAAAAUAAACUAUUAUAAUAAAUUAGCUAUGAGAGGAGAAGAGAGAUGGAUUGUAGCAGCAAGAAGCUAUUGUCUUCAAGGGCGUUUGGAGGGAGAUGCUUGACUCCGGUGAGAGAGCUAGAGAAAAU
This 208-nucleotide unclassified non-coding RNA is filed under the name Hevea brasiliensis (rubber tree). Lineage: Eukaryota; Viridiplantae; Streptophyta; Magnoliopsida; Malpighiales; Euphorbiaceae. The record is from RNAcentral.